CCCCUGACUCGGUGGUGGUCGGCCGCGCUCGCGCCGAGUCGUGAUCCGUGCCCAUUUCCGGUCGAUACGCAGUAAUCGGAGUAAUCCUUCCGCGUCGCGCGUUCUUUGGCGUGGCGAGUUCGCGAUCGACGUUGAUCAUCGGGACGUAUUAGUGUCGUAAUUCGUCUCCCAUCGGGCACUUUAUUCGUAUUUCUUAUCGACACGCGAGGAAUCGUCGGGAGUGUCGUCGCGGGACGACCGGUGUGUUGCAUACGCAACGAAGUGUCGCGUCGUCGCCAUUGUUUCGUCAGUGUCGUGAGGUAGGAUCUCGUCGCGUCCUCUUGUCGCGUUCCUCGUGUCCUCUCGUCGGUGGAGAGCGAGUUUGCCCGCGGACGGCAUCGCCGGGGAUGCCGAGCCGAGUCGAAGACAUUAAGUCGACGUACAAAGUGAUCGCGUCCCUCGCGCCCCUUUCCCCUCUUGUCUUCCGUCUGUGGGAAAUUGACGCCAAAAUCGCCGGAGUUUUUCGUCGCGUCGUCGUGUCGCGGUCUGUCCCCGUCUCCGCUCGAUCUCGUCGCGUUUCUCGUGUUCUUUCCUCGGAGAGCAAAGUUCCUCGCGGAAGGCAUCGCCGAACCGAGCCGACGUCAUUAAUUGGCGUACAAAGUAGUUGCGGCUCGCGUCGUUAGCAUCUGUAAUCGUGUUGCGAGUGUGUCUGUGCGAACGAGGAAAACCUCAUCGAUUCAUCGGCUGGUGAGUAAAUUUAUUUAUCUGUUUUUUUUUUAAUAUUCUUGAAUAUUUUUUAUUUCAAUAUUGAAUUAUAUCAUUUCAGUACUGUUGACCAUAGACAAGACCAGAAAAAAAACAGAUAUAAGUAACGUUAAUAAAAAGAGUUUUGAAGAUAUAGAAAUUUUAUCAGAAAGACGGCAGCGUUCAUCAAAAAUGGCAUAUCUGAACAUUCUAUCCCCACUAAUGAGGAUUUACCAUCUUUAUUGACAAAUAUGGGCUUUAUUAGAGGUUUUAAGGCAAGACAAAUAAUUUGCCUCGUUCAGGACACAAAUAGAGAGGUAAUGCUGCUACCACUUUUAAAAUACUUCUCGGUAAGUGAGUUGCUUCCAUUUUAUUAAUAAAUUGCUUUCGUCUGUUUCAUGCCCAAAAAAA
Long non-coding RNA from Monomorium pharaonis (pharaoh ant), 1134 nucleotides. RefSeq lists it as uncharacterized. The transcript is spliced from 2 exons. NCBI's taxonomy places the organism in Eukaryota, Metazoa, Arthropoda, Insecta, Hymenoptera, Formicidae. The record is from RefSeq and is a predicted model, not a curated record.